This 711-nucleotide ribosomal RNA is filed under the name uncultured bacterium. RNAcentral's name for it is "bacterial SSU rRNA". It matches the Rfam family "Bacterial small subunit ribosomal RNA", at positions 730 to 1439 of the family's 1533-position model. The record is from RNAcentral.
UGGACGAAANCUGACGCUGAGGCGCGAAAGCCAGGGGAGCGAACGGGAUUAGAUACCCCGGUAGUCCUGNCCGUAAACGAUGGGUACUAGGUGUAGGAGGUAUCGACCCNUUCUGUGCCGGAGUUAACGCAAUAAGUACCCCGCCUGGGGAGUACGACCGCAAGGUUGAAACUCAAAGGAAUUGACGGGGGCCCGCACAAGCGGUGGAGUAUGUGGUUUAAUUCGACGCAACGCGAAGAACCUUACCAGGUCUUGACAUUGAUGGACAGAACUAGAGAUAGUUCCUCUUCUUCGGAAGCCAGAAAACAGGUGGUGCACGGUUGUCGUCAGCUCGUGUCGUGAGAUGUUGGGUUAAGUCCCGCAACGAGCGCAACCCCUAUCUUAUGUUGCCAGCACUUCGGGUGGGAACUCAUGAGAGACUGCCGCAGACAAUGCGGAGGAAGGCGGGGAUGACGUCAAAUCAUCAUGCCCCUUAUGACCUGGGCUACACACGUACUACAAUGGGAGUUAAUAGACGGAAGCGAAACCGCGAGGUGGAGCAAACCCGAGAAACACUCUCUCAGUUCGGAUCGUAGGCUGCAACUCGCCUACGUGAAGUCGGAAUCGCUAGUAAUCGCAGGUCAGCAUACUGCGGUGAAUACGUUCCCGGGCCUUGUACACACCGCCCGUCACACCACGAAAGUCGGAAGUGCCCAAAGCCGGUNGGGUAAC